AGUGAACGCUGGCGGUAGGCCUAACACAUGCAAGUCGAACGGCAGCACAGUAAGAGCUUGCUCUUACGGGUGGCGAGUGGCGGACGGGUGAGGAAUACAUCGGAAUCUACUUUUUCGUGGGGGAUCACGUAGGGAAACUUACGCUAAUACCGCAUACGACCUACGGGUGAAAGCAGGGGAUCUUCGGACCUUGCGCGGUUGAAUGAGCCGAUGUCGGAUUAGCUAGUUGGCGGGGUAAAGGCCCACCAAGGCGACGAUCCGUAGCUGGUCUGAGAGGAUGGUCAGCCACACUGGAACUGAGACACGGUCCAGACUCCUACGGGAGGCAGCAGUGGGGAAUAUUGGACAAUGGGCGCAAGCCUGAUCCAGCCAUACCGCGUGGGUGAAGGAGGCCUUCGGGUUGUAAAGCCCUUUUGUUGGGAAAGAAAAGCAGCAGGUUAAUACCCCGCUGUUCUGACGGUACCCAAAGAAUAAGCACCGGCUAACUUCGUG
Molecule: ribosomal RNA, 492 nt
Filed under: uncultured bacterium
Lineage: Bacteria
Description: partial 16S ribosomal RNA
Rfam family: Bacterial small subunit ribosomal RNA
Source: RNAcentral